UUUAUUCUGACAAGAUGGAUUCUUGCUUGAUCUUGAAAUCUCACGAGUUCAGCUGCCUCGCAACCCUCCCGCUAGAAGUCUGCCGCAGGGCAGCUUUCGGAAGCUGGCCAAUCAGAACAGAAUGGGCUCGUAGGAGGGGGCUUUAAAGAGACAGGAGCUAAAACAGUCUGUUUUAGGCUGAAGCUGAACUGAGGGUCUACAUAGAAGAUCAGACAUCACGGGAAAGGAAAGGCAGCACAAGGACAGGAAAUGGGGCAGCAGUAAAAGAGGAAG
Long non-coding RNA from Scomber scombrus (Atlantic mackerel), 273 nucleotides. RefSeq lists it as uncharacterized. The record is from RefSeq and is a predicted model, not a curated record. The transcript is spliced from 3 exons. Lineage: Eukaryota; Metazoa; Chordata; Actinopteri; Scombriformes; Scombridae.